UAGAACUUUGGCUUGGUGUACAUCAGUGGUCACUUGGCUAUCCAGAAUUGGGUAGGAAAUCAGUUAGAGUUUCAAUCUAGCCGUGAAAAGGCCCAAGUGUGUCAUUCAAUACGUAACAAUAGGAAAACACUCACUCGACUUGUCGUUAUGAGGAUCACGUGGUUAUCUGCACUUUUGACCUUGAUGGCCAAGGUCAGUUGGGCAUGGCCCCAAAUCCCCUAUUUUUAUGUGGAUGGAGAUCCCUUCCGAGACAUUGCCGCCCUGGAUUUGGACCUGAGGAGGCAGGGAUUGCAUAAUUGGGUUUAUCUUAAUUCGGCGGAUAAUGCCGUGAACAGACGGUCGGUCGAACAGGCCAAGUUUGACCCAGGCACUAAUGAGUUUGAGGUCCAUCGGCCACCUUUCUUCACCACUCUCACCCAAAGCCAAUCAGAACCGAGUUCCGGAUCACUACCCCAUGAUUUUCGACCCUCGGAUGGGAUCAAGUCCAAUUUUCCACAAUCACAAACAAGAGUGACUGCGGCAGCAGGAGCAGUCCCUUCCAAUGGCAAAAAAUCAGUCAGAGGGACGCGUCCAUCAAAUUCCGAUGAGGGGUUGAAAGAGCUUCCAAUCGAUUUUAGGCCGUCCGAUGGGAUCAAGGCCAAUUUCUCUCGACAAAGAAGUCGUUCCGAGCCGUUGGGUCCGACUCCAUGGAGCGGAAGGGAUUCAUCCAGGGCUGCAAUCUCAACAUCGUACAUACCCAAAUUGAAUAAUAACCGGGAACGUCAAAUCCAAGACAGAUCAAAGGGGGGACAAAGAAGACCUACACUCCCACCUUACUUUCGACCUUCAGACGGGUUGAAGGCUCUUUGGCCUUGGAAUACCAGAGCCAGCCACGACAGGACCACCCUAGGGAGCUCAACUCGAAAAGUUCUAUUGAAAAAAAUCCCGGCCGCCGAUUUUGAUCCGCAGAGCAAGCUUUUGAACAAUAGCAGAAACAACAAGGGGCGAUUAAUUCGGGUGGUGAUGAGGAAAUCUCCUGGGAAAGGCAGGGAAGAUAUCGAAACAAAGGUCGUCAACAUAACAGUGAUCCCAGCCCCAUUGGGGGGAAAAAUCUUGGCUAUGGAUUCCAUGUUCCAAAUUCCUGCCGACACGGACAUGCCACCUUUGAGCCACGAUUUUGUAGGACACGAUCUAGACGAGAAUCCGUUCCUAAAAUCACAAGACACUCCCGAUAUCAUUCCCUGGAAGCACCUGGAGGAGGGCCCAACAAUCGACUCUGUUACACCCAUACAAGAAGACGCGGCCGAUGAGAAAGAAGCUUCUGGGGAGGUGUUUGAGCCUCAGGAAUCGAUAAAGACCCUCCAAUCCCGACGUCCCAAGGCGUUCCAACAGAGUCAGAUCAAUUUUAGUUGCACCGCCAAGGAACACGGUUAUUACGCAGAUCGGACCAAUUGUCGGCAGUAUUUUGUCUGCAUGCCCAAUAAAGUGGGUGGAGGGCGGCGAUGGAGGUUCUCCUGUGGUCCUGGAACCAAGUUCAGCUCCAAACAUAAUGCAUGCAUUCAUGAUCGAGGGGAGGAUUGCUAAUGACUUGUUUUCUUUCCAUGGGAGGAAGGUAUGUCUGCUCGUCCCAAAGUAUUACUAUACGAAUAUAUACGUCUAUCCAAGUCUCAAAUAAAUCUGUUGUUCACAAGGAACUUGUCAAGCGUGAAAGAUGCCAUCGAUUUGCUCGCGGAUGGAUCGAACAUCAGAAUAUCCAAUGAGGCGCACCGCAUUGCAACUUGUCAUUUUUCUAUUUCUGGGUUUUUUUUUUCUCGGAGGGGAUGCAGUGACAGGUGUCGGACUUGUAAUUAUUCAGGACAUUUGUCCUCGAUAUGAAGGAGAAGUUGAGGGAACUGACUGGUCUUUGUUGGAGCAUAAGAUGUGUGAUAUGAAACAUACUCGUUGGAAGUGUCUACUAUACAUGUCAGAAAGAAGGAGUCGUCCAUUGGAGCGAACGAAAGAAGAUGAGCUAUGUAUGUACGAACGGAUCGAGGAAGAUUCUUCCCUUUAGUUAUGCCAAAGCAGUCAGUCAAGUCGAUUCCAAUUACCUCAGAAAUGCUUUGUCGGGCCUGAGACCCCUUGGAGUUGUUCAAGGUUGAAUGCAUAUCCAGGGUGUUCAAUCAACAACCAAAACAUACGAUUAGGGGGAUCUUCUCGGGAAUGAAACACUCUGUGCCAGUGGUGAAAAAACAGUACAAAGGGACAAAUCGUCCACUUGAGAUGUUGCACUUUUGAGCACUCGAAAAGUUCCCGAGUCAUUGCUCGAACGGCCUCAGGUUUAUUUAUGUAGUUAUGUCGACUACCGGUACGGGGAUAGAUAUGUCCAGAAAGUGUCGGAUGUGACCCUGAACCACCCUGUUUACGUGGAUAAUGGGUGAGCGUGGACGGGGCCCCACUUCUCAGAACAAUUUGUGAGGACAAUACAGGACCCCAAAGUGUUACUAAGACGUGUUGCAUGGUACAUUCGACCUGGGGGGAUGUUUCAUUAGUCUAGGCACCAAUUGCAUGAGGCCAACUUUUUACCGUAUUUGUCAUCAUUGUGAACGGGCUCAACCAAAUACAACCAGGUCUAUCCAUCCACCUUCGUACAUGUCAAAAGUUGGCUUGAAAGAAGGUUUAGUAGCGGUCUCUUCACUGAUACCUUGGCUGCAACAAAGCGUGCUUGACGCCUUUCUUACGUUAAUGAUAUCGCUGUUGUACUGGAUAGCGGGGAUGGUUGAUGAGGAUAACCGAGAAGAAUAUUUCGUCUUUGUGCUGGUUAGUCAGUUCACGUUUACAGCUCGACCGAAGCAAGUGUUUUUGGUCGUGGGUAUCCUUUGCAACCAACCAACCAACCAACCAACCAACAUUACCCUUUAAAAUCAAUUUUUUUGGCAAAAUCUUCCGUCCGUUCCUUUUGAAUCAAACAUGAGCUUCCUGAACUCCAAACUAUUCUCGUCAUUGGCCGUCAUCGCCAUGAUUUACGUCUCUCAAGUUGAUUCGCAAUCCCAGUUCAAAACCGUGGUCACUUACCUGGGCACAGACUUCAUCUUGCCCGAUGGAUGUCCUUUGCCCGCUUGCCUUGAGGAUGAUCGAGUAUGCAAUCGGAAAAAGAGCGAAAUGGAACAGAGAUAUAAUAACUGCAUCAGGGGGGAAGAUGGUCUCCAUUUGGGAUGCAUCACCGAUGUUCUUCCCACCAAGGUAACAAUCACCAUCCCGGUUUAUGCCAAUUUUUGUUCAGCUUAUUGCUACGAGAAGGAUUUGACCAUGGUCAACAAGCUGGAACAUUGCCCACAUGCUGGAAAUAAGCACGAGGUCGACCCCAACUUGUUCAGUUUGUUCUAGUUUAAAUAAAAGUCAUUAUUUUCA
RNA transcript from Tigriopus californicus, 3366 nucleotides. RefSeq lists it as uncharacterized. NCBI's taxonomy places the organism in Eukaryota, Metazoa, Arthropoda, Copepoda, Harpacticoida, Harpacticidae. The transcript is spliced from 5 exons. The record is from RefSeq and is a predicted model, not a curated record.